GUGAGGGGAUGACUGGUGACAGUGAGGGAAGGGAUGACUAGUGGCAGAGUGAGGGAAGGAAGGGAUGACUAGUGACAAGUGAGAGAGGGGGUGACUAGUGACAGAGUGAGGAAGGGGGUGACACAGUGAAGGAGGUGGUGACUGUCACUAGUCACCCCAUCCCUCCCUCUGUCACUAAUCACCACCUCCGUCACCCCUCUGUCACUAGUCACCCCUCCCCUCCCUCUCUCUGUCACUAGUCACCCCCUCCUCCCUCUCUCUGUCACUAGUCACCCCCUCCCUCUCUCUGUCACUAGUCACACCCUCCCUCAC
Non-coding RNA from Pelobates cultripes (western spadefoot toad), 312 nucleotides. The record is from the annotation of a GenBank genome assembly. NCBI's taxonomy places the organism in Eukaryota, Metazoa, Chordata, Amphibia, Anura, Pelobatidae.